This 305-nucleotide long non-coding RNA is filed under the name Trifolium pratense (red clover). Its description in RNAcentral is "long non-coding RNA (TPRA_LNC003236)". The record is from RNAcentral. Lineage: Eukaryota; Viridiplantae; Streptophyta; Magnoliopsida; Fabales; Fabaceae.
UUUAAUAUUCAUAAUAAAGGCAUACCUUUUUAAAUACACAACAGAAUUCUAAAUACUGCAAAGCAUUCCCAACAUAUUCUGGUGUGAACUCGAUGUCCAGUAUUUUGUCAUCUCAAUGCCAGUGGGAAAAGGAAUUUCUUUCUUAAUAUUUUGUACAUAGAAAAUUGUUGAAUUUAUUUGAGACUCGGCACAUUGUCACCAUCACCUAUAACAACAGUUGCAUGACACUUUUUCUCAUGCAUUAGUUAGAAUUAUGUAAAAUCAUUAGCAUUAGGACCAUGAAUCUUACCAUGAUUCUCCCCCAC